UACGUAGGGGGCAAGCGUUGUCCGGAAUCAUUGGGCGUAAAGCGCGUGUAGGCGGCUUGGUAAGUCCGCUCUGAAAGCCUGGGGCUCAACCCCGGGAGGCGGGUGGAUACUGUCAAGCUCGAGUCCGGAAGAGGCGAGUGGAAUUCCUGGUGUAGCGGUGAAAUGCGCAGAUAUCAGGAGGAACACCAAUGGCGAAGGCAGCUCGCUGGGACGUGACUGACGCUGAGACGCGAAAGCGUGGGGAGCAAACAGG
Molecule: ribosomal RNA, 253 nt
Filed under: uncultured bacterium
Lineage: Bacteria
Description: partial 16S ribosomal RNA
Rfam family: Bacterial small subunit ribosomal RNA
Source: RNAcentral